This 1390-nucleotide unclassified non-coding RNA is filed under the name uncultured Neocallimastigales. RNAcentral's name for it is "partial contains small subunit ribosomal RNA, internal transcribed spacer 1, 5.8S ribosomal RNA, internal transcribed spacer 2, and large subunit ribosomal RNA". The stretch from base 623 to 1390 matches the Rfam family "Eukaryotic large subunit ribosomal RNA", at positions 1 to 629 of the family's 3401-position model. Lineage: Eukaryota; Fungi; Neocallimastigomycota; Neocallimastigomycetes; Neocallimastigales. The record is from RNAcentral.
UUUCCGUAGGUGAACCUGCGGAAGGAUCAUUAAUAAAUGGUCUACGUUUUUUUAAGUAGACGCUUAAUAAUCCUACCCUUUGUGAAUUUGUUGUUUUGAAAUAAUUUUUUUUAAAAUUAUUGAUUGUCUUUCCCUGUUGAAUUGGUUGUCUUAAGGCAAAUGAUUCGCAGGGAGUGUCAGUAAUUUUUAAAAAGACCUUUUUAAAAUUAAACUUUUUGUAUUCAUUUGUCUAAAAUUAUUUUAUAAUAUAAAAACAACUUUUGACAAUGGAUCUCUUGGUUCUCGCAACGAUGAAGAACGCAGCAAAAUGCGAUAAGUAGUGUGAAUUGCAGAAUACGUGAAUCAUCGAAUCUUCGAACGCAUAUUGCACUUUUUUAGUUUACUAAAAAAGUAUGUCUGUUUGAGUAUCAGUAAAAUAUUCUCAUAAAAACUUUUUGUUUUUAUGGUUAUGAGUGUUUUACAACGAUACAAGUUGUUUCACUUUAAAUUUUUUUUAAAAUUUGAAUUUUUCUAAUUUUAAAAUAAAAUUGGAUAAAAUUUUCCCGUAAAAAAGGAAUAACCUAAACAAUUUAAUUUUUGAUUAGAAUUCUUCAAUUAUAAAGGAAAAUUUAACUAAAUAACUUGAUCUCAAAUCAGAUAAGAGUACCCGCUGAACUUAAGCAUAUCAAUAAGCGGAGGAAAAGAAACUAACAAGGAUUCCCUUAGUAACGGCGAGUGAAGCGGGAAGAGCUCAAAUUUGAAUCUUAAAGGUUUCCCUUACGAAUUGUAGUUUAAAGAAGUGUUUUCUGCUGAAUUUUGGUAAAAGUUCUUUGGAAUAGGACAUCAUAGAGGGUGAGAAUCCCGUAUUUGACCAUUAUCUUCAGCUGUGUGAUACACUUUCAAAGAGUCGGAUUGUUUGGGAAUGCAGUCCAAAAUGGGUGGUAAAUUUCAUCUAAAGCUAAAUAUUGGCGAGAGACCGAUAGCGAACAAGUACCGUGAGGGAAAGAUGAAAAGAACUUUGAAAAGAGAGUUAAACAGUACGUGAAAUUGUCAAAAGGGAAGCGUUUGACACCAGUGUUGUUUCUCUGAAAAUCAAUUACAAAAGUUGAUUUUAAGUUGUAUGACCUUAUCAGCUUACUGCUUAUUUUAGGCUUUUCUUUAAUGCACUUUUCAGUUUACAAGUCAACAUCAAUUUCUUUUGUUGUAAAAGGUAAUGGAAGGUGGCUCAGCUUCGGCUAAAGUGUUUAUAGUCCUUUGCAUCUGCAAUCGGAGAGACUGAGGUCUGCAGCGUAGAUCCUUCUGGUUAGAUACAUUUGUGCUAAGUUACAGCUUUUCAUAGACAACUUGUUGACUAUGUUUAGUCUUGUAACUUACCCGCUUAUGCUAUUUUACCUACGCUUAGGAUGUUGAG